This 130-nucleotide small nucleolar RNA is filed under the name Jaculus jaculus (lesser Egyptian jerboa). RNAcentral describes it as "Small nucleolar RNA SNORA32 (ENSJJAG00000004599.1)". It matches the Rfam family "Small nucleolar RNA SNORA32". Rfam says of the family: ACA32 is a member of the H/ACA class of snoRNA that guide the sites of modification of uridines to pseudouridines. The record is from Rfam by way of RNAcentral. Lineage: Eukaryota; Metazoa; Chordata; Mammalia; Rodentia; Dipodidae.
UGGUCAUUACCAAGGCUUUUAGAAUUGCAGUUUCUCAUUUGCUGUGGACAUGACCGUAAAAAAAAAUCCCCAGUAGGUUUUUUUUGGUAUGCUGCUCACUUGGCUAGCAGUCAGCCUAUUGGGAACAUUU